Molecule: non-coding RNA, 433 nt
Organism: Cheilinus undulatus (humphead wrasse)
Lineage: Eukaryota; Metazoa; Chordata; Actinopteri; Labriformes; Labridae
Source: the annotation of a RefSeq genome assembly
CUCACUUUCAACAUCAAGCAUGUUUUCUGGAGCUCUGCUGCUGCUGCUGGCAGCUGGAUGUGUGAAGGCUCAAACUCUGACACAGCCAGCCUCUGAGACUGUGCAGCCAGGUCAGCGUCUGACCAUCACCUGUCAGGUCUCUUAUUCUUUUAGCAGCUACUAGACAGGCUGGAUCAGACAGCCUGCAGGGAAAGGACUGGAGUGGAUCGGAAGCAGAUACACUGGUGGCACUUCCUACAAAGAUUCACUGAGGAGCAAAUUCACCAUUGAUUUAGACUCCUCCAGAAACACAGCGACUCUAAACGGACAGAACAUGCAGCCUGAAGACUCUGCUGUGUAUUUCUGUGCCAGAGACCCACAGUGACACAACCAUCAGCAGAGCUGAACAAAAACCCCUCAGAGCCUGAACACCUAAACAUGAAGCCACCAGGGG